RNAcentral lists this ribosomal RNA (390 nucleotides) under uncultured bacterium. Its description in RNAcentral is "bacterial SSU rRNA". It matches the Rfam family "Bacterial small subunit ribosomal RNA", at positions 28 to 419 of the family's 1533-position model. The record is from RNAcentral.
GACGAACGCUGGCGGCGUGCUUAACACAUGCAAGUCGAGCGGUAAGGCCCUUUCGGGGGUACGACGAGCGGCGAACGGGUGAGUAACACGUGGGUGACCUGCCCUCAGCUCUGGGAUAAGCCUGGGAAACCGGGUCUAAUACUGGAUAUGACUCCAUGACGCAUGUUGUGGGGUGGAAAGCCUUGUGCGGCUGAGGAUGGGCCCGCGGCCUAUCAGCUCGUUGGUGGGGGAUGGCCUACCAAGGCGACGACGGGUAGCCGGCCUGAGAGGGCGACCGGCCACACUGGGACUGAGACACGGCCCAGACUCCUACGGGAGGCAGCAGUGGGGAAUCUUGCGCAAUGGGCGAAAGCCUGACGCAGCGACGCCGCGUGAGGGAUGACGGCCUGG